AUCUUUACAGUGUGGUAUGGACCGUGAGAGGGAGGAAAAACGCUAUGUGUGUUGGAAAAAGUUUGAAAUGAUCUUACAAAAGAACCUACAUCAAUUGAUUGAAGCUGUGAGUUAAUUUCGUGCAAUCAGAUUUCGUGUAGCCUCACUUUCGUCGUAUGUCAUCUAGUUUUACUAGUAUAUCACUGCCGAAGUGCAGCGCGUGACAGUUGUUUCGUUAGUAUAAACAACUGACGCAAUGCAAGGCUUUUUGUGCUAAUUCGUGUUGCUAAAUCUAGAGCGUUACUUAAACUGAAUUACUGAUGUUGAAAUGGCUAAAUUAAGGACGUCUUAUACCAUAAUACAGAAACAGUGCCCCGUGCAAGGGAUAGGUUACUGUAAGUUGUACGGCGUAUGUCCACUUUCGCAUUUACAAAAUAAAUAAGAAAAAGAAUGAAAGAGGAAAAGAAUUAUAUCACUCUCUAAAACCCGAGUUGUGCAUAAGAGCUUCCCCCAAAUUCUAGUAAAACAUGUAUAUUUCUGACAGAGCAGUCAAUCUGGAAUACCAAAUUACCUGUGAUAUUACUGUCUACUUCAACUGUAGGUAGCUUCACAAUGCUGGACAUUAUAAAUCAUUUGAGAGCAGUACGUGAUUUGGAAUAAUUCUGUCUGCUACCUUCACGUGAUGCACAUAUUGUUAAUUUUUAUAGUGAGCAAAUUUCAAAUUGCAUAGCAGUUAUUAUGAUUGGAACAUAGAAAAUUCAGCUUCCAGGGUUGUUGUAUCCAGGUUUCAUACAAUGGAACCAGAGAAAAGCCCCUCGGCUGUGGUACAGAAAACAAUUGAAGAUGUUCUUGAAGAGAUAGACAGCGAGUACUUUGACAGUAUUACAUUUGAUCCUUGUAUUCAUGAACUAAAAAAACUCCCUGAUGUCCUCGACAUACACAGUAUUCAGGCUCGACGGGAAAACUUAAGACAGCAGCAUAUGGUGGUAUCUAAAAGAGUUUUGCAGUUAAUUUUGCAAAAGCAAUCUCAGCGUCAUGAUGAAGUUGCGAGAAUACUGGAAAUUCAGCAGCAGUUACAAGCAGCACUAAGGCUCUGCCGGGAAGGGAGGACAAGCUUGAGUGGAGCUAAAUCACAGUUCACAACUACAAGUUUGGGAAUUCUUGCCAAUUAUCGGAAGAAACAGACACUUCGAGGCUUGCUACAUUCAUUAAAUACCAUAAAAACAUUGCUGUGCACUGAAGAGCGCCUGCAGGAGUUGCUGAAUGAAGCGAAUUAUGCCAGAGCUAUUAGCUUGCUUCUGGAAUGUCAAAGAGCUGCAUGCACGUACCGCCAUUUUAACUGUGUUGCUGCACUCAGUGGAAAGCUACAGGAUACUUUAGAAAUGGCAGAGGAACAGCUUGACGGAGCUUUGACAAAAGUAUGUGCAAAAUUUCAGCCAGAAUUUUAUAACAACGUAAUGACAGCGUAUCAGUUACUAGGAAAAACACAGAUGGCAAUGGAUCAGUUACAUAUGCACUUCUAUUCUGCUAUUCACAAUAAAGCUGUGGAAGUUAUACGUCAGUGUGUGGACAACACUGAAAGUCUUGUAACUGGAGGUGCUUCAAGCUCUCUAAAGCCUUUUCGUCUAUUGUGUCAGAAUGUUGUGCCUGAAAAAUUUAUAGAUUGUCUGCUCAACUUAUGCAAAUCUUUGUGGGAAGUUAUCUUGAAUUACAACCAAAUGCGGAUGUGGCACAAACAGAACGCAUGUCAGCAGCUACAGAAAGGGGGUGUUAGUACUGUAAUAGACUUUGAACUGAGUUGUGAUCAGAAGUAUGUAGAGCAAAAACUGGAGAAAGGAAUGUUUCGUAUGUGGCACGAUGUCCAGUCCAGGGUAGGAGCGUAUCUAAUGGGAUGUGACUUGGCCAGGUUCAAAUUUGAAGAGUUUCUUCAAAUUCUUUCAGUUGUUCACAGGUUGAUGGAAGUAGGUGAGGAAUUUUGUGGAAGCAAAUCAGAAGAAUUACAAAAUUCUAUUCGAGAACAGAGUACAAAUUACUUUAAAAGUUAUCACAGAGAACGCUUGGAAGAGCUAAGGCUGUUCUUAGAAAAUGAGAAUUGGGAACUCUGCCCUGUUAAAAAUAAUUUCACUAUCCUUCAGUUACAGGAAUUCAAAUCAUUGCGAAAUGCUCUGAAAGGGAUAAAAUUUGAUGAAGGUAGCAGCUUGAACCUCACAAGUCAUACAGCAAGUCCUGACUGUAGUACCAGUAGUGCUCAUUCACAAGAUAGCUCGUCAACUGCUGGAGGCUAUUUUCUACGUUAUUCAGAAUCAGGGUCACCAUUUGAUAUUAUACCUGUUGAGUCGCAGGAGGAGGACAUCUUGGCCAAUAUAAGGGAUGGCAUGUCUGUGGACUACAGUGAUGAAAGCGAUGACGACGUUCCAGAAGAUGUAAAGAAAGACUUCGUUGAUGAAGGAGGGGGUGAAAACAAUAAAAAUACAAAACCAUUUGUAAGGAAACAGGUGCAACAUGAUUUUCUUAAAGUGCCUGUACUCACAACUACAACAUUAACAGUUCUGCGUUACUGUGGAAAAUAUCUCCAAAUGAGUCAGCUUCUGCGACGUAUUGCAAGUGAUGUUAUUGCAGGAAUGAUUCAGUUGUUUGAAUACUACAUGUAUGCUGUUUUUGUCUUCUUCACUGCUGACCUGCAAGGGCCUGAAAAUUAUACUUUCAGUCUUAGACUUCAAGCAACAUUAAAACAUAUAGAAGGAAGCCUCAUUCUCCUUGAUAGAUCAGAUAGCGAAAUUCAGUCACAGAAGAAUAAGAUAGCACGUCCAUAUAUGUCUCCAGAUAUUGACUUGAGUCAAUCUCAGAGACUCUAUGGUUUGCCAAAAAGAAUUAUUGCUGUUGAGUCACUAGUUCAUUUAGCAAAGCAGCUGGAGUCGUUAAAACCAUAUGUAGAACAGUUGCUAGAACAAACAUGCAAGACUGAGCCAUAUUUUCAGCAAUUCUAUACACAAACAAUAAGUGCAGCAGUUGACCUUCGAAGGCCAGUGUAUAUGUGUGUCUCGCAGCGCAUAGUUGAUUUUGGUAGAAUGUUGCACCUAAUGAGCAAAGUUAAUUGGGAAGUGAAGGAUGUUAUGAGCCAGCACAGUGACUAUGUUGAUGCCUUAAUGAUGGAGUUAAAAACAUUUUUCUCCCAGCUGGAGAGUGUUGCUGCAAUAGUGCCGUUGCCUCCAGAAGUGAACAAAGUGCUUUGGAGUAACCUCAUAGAACUGAUAUGCAACACCUUUGUUGAAGGGUUCUCAAAUGCAAAGAAGUGUUCCAAUGGAGGAAGGGCAUUAAUGCAGUUGGAUUUUACACAGUUCCUAACACAGCUGGACAAACUUGUGAUGAUCCGCCCAAUACCAAAUAAAGAAUAUGUAGAAAUGUAUGUAAAAGCUUACUAUCUUCAGGAACCUGCUCUAGAAAAAUGGAUUAAAGAACAUAAUGAGUACUCCAGUAAACAUUUGUUGGCCCUCGUGAGCUGUACAUGUCAAAAUCGAAAGAAGUCACGCUUACGUCUUUCCUCAUUGAUUGAGGAACUGGGGAGGUGAUGACUGGAGUACCUUUGUAUGGUCGUUCUGAGUGAGUGAGGUAUGUGGCUCCGCUGAUUUCAGCCUUUUUUAAUUUCCAUAAAAUGUGAGGAACAUGAGUCUCUCUCUCAAGUGCAAUUUUACACACAAACACACCAAGGAAAUGACCAACAUUGAUGUACCGUAGAGCUUUCAAAGCAAAAAGCAGCCUAGUUAAUUUUACAAGUAUUAUUUCAUGCUAAAAAUUAUGAUGUGAAUCUCAUUGAUAACUCACCAUUC
Molecule: RNA transcript, 3806 nt
Organism: Schistocerca gregaria
Lineage: Eukaryota; Metazoa; Arthropoda; Insecta; Orthoptera; Acrididae
Gene: Vps50
Gene name: syndetin
Exons: 19
Source: RefSeq, a predicted model, not a curated record